Molecule: ribosomal RNA, 464 nt
Filed under: uncultured bacterium
Lineage: Bacteria
Description: partial 16S ribosomal RNA
Rfam family: Bacterial small subunit ribosomal RNA
Source: RNAcentral
AUGAACGCUGGCGGCGUGCUUAACACAUGCAAGUCGAACGGAAAGGCUCCUGCUUGCAGGGGUACUCGAGUGGCGAACGGGUGAGUAACACGUGGGUGAUCUGCCCUUCACUUCGGGAUAAGCCUGGGAAACUGGGUCUAAUACCGGAUAGGACCACAUUUUGGAUGGUGUGGUGGAAAGUUUUUCGGUGUGGGAUGAGCUCGCGGCCUAUCAGCUUGUUGGUGGGGUAAUGGCCUACCAAGGCGUCGACGGGUAGCCGGCCUGAGAGGGUGUACGGCCACAUUGGGACUGAGAUACGGCCCAGACUCCUACGGGAGGCAGCAGUGGGGAAUAUUGCACAAUGGGCGCAAGCCUGAUGCAGCGACGCCGCGUGGGGGAUGACGGCCUUCGGGUUGUAAACUCCUUUCGCUAGGGACGAAGCGCAAGUGACGGUACCUGGAGAAGAAGCACCGGCUAACUACGUG